Molecule: RNA transcript, 843 nt
Organism: Octodon degus (degu)
Lineage: Eukaryota; Metazoa; Chordata; Mammalia; Rodentia; Octodontidae
Gene name: NADH dehydrogenase [ubiquinone] flavoprotein 2, mitochondrial-like
Exons: 1
Source: RefSeq, a predicted model, not a curated record
GGAUUCGGGCCUCCGGCCUGGCAAGGGGGACCGCGGGGUCGCCAUGUUCUCCUUGGCGCUGCGGGCCCGGGCGGCAGGCCUCACCGCCUCGUGGGGAAGGCAAAUAAGGAAUUUUCAAAAGACAGCUGUGCAAAAUGGUGCUGGAGGAUCCUUGUUUGUGCACAGAGAUACUCCUGAGAAUAAUCCGGGAACUCCUUUUGAUUUCACACCAGAAAACUAUAAGAGGAUAGAAGCAAUCAUAAAAAACUACCCAGAAGGGCAUAAAGCAGCAGCAGUGCUUCCAGUCCUGGACUCAGCCCAAAGGCAGAAUGGUUGGUUGCCCAUCUCUGCUAUGAACAAGGUUGCAGAAGUUUUACAAGUACCUCCAAUGAGAGUAUAUGAAGUAGCAACUUAUUAUGCAAUGUACAACCGGAAGCCAGUUGGGAAGCACCACAUUCAGGUCUGCACUGUACACCUUGCAUGCUCCGAGACUCUGACAGCGUCCUGGAGGCCAUUCAGAAAAAGCUGGGAAUAAAAGUUGGAGAGACUACACCCGACAAACUUUUCACUCUUAUAGAGGUGGAAUGUUUAGGGGCCUGUGUAAAUGCACCAAUGGUUCAAAUAAAUGACAACUAUUAUGAGGAUCUGACACCUAAAGAUAUUGAAGAAAUUAUUGAUGAGUUGAAAGCUGGCAAAAUUCCCAAACCUGAACCAAGAAGUGGACGUUUCAGUUGUGAGCCAGCAGGAGGUCUUACCUCACUGACGGAACCGCCUAAAGGACCUGGGUUUGGUGUGCAAGCAGGCCUUUAAUUUAUAUUCUGCUGUAAAUAUGUCACUGGAGAAAUAAAACGUGAACCACCAAAA